UCGAGGAUCUUCGUCAAUGGGCGAAAGCCUGAACGAGCGACGCCGCGUGCGGGAUGAAGGCCCUUGGGUUGUAAACCGCUGUCAGGGGGGAUGAAACCGCAAGGUUGACAGAGCCCCAGAGGAAGCACGGGCUAAGUUCGUGCCAGCAGCCGCGGUAAUACGAACUGUGCGAACGUUACUCGGAAUCACUGGGCUUACAGGGUGCGUAGGCGGCUUGUUAAGCAGGGUGUGAAAUCCCUCGGCUCAACCGAGGAACUGCGCUCUGAACUGGCGAGCUGGAGGAUGCUAGAGGUGUAUGGAACAUCUAGUGGAGCGGUGAAAUGUGUUGAUAUUAGAUGGAACACCGGAGGCGAAGGCGAUACACUGGGGCAUAUCUGACGCUGAGGCACGAAAGCCAGGG
This 400-nucleotide ribosomal RNA is filed under the name uncultured bacterium. Its description in RNAcentral is "bacterial SSU rRNA". It matches the Rfam family "Bacterial small subunit ribosomal RNA", at positions 355 to 765 of the family's 1533-position model. The record is from RNAcentral.